AUGAACGCUGGCGGCGUGCCUAAUACCUGCAAGUCGAGCGAACAGACGAGGAGCUUGCUCCUCUGACGUUAGCGGCGGACGGGUGAGUAACACGUGGAUAACCUACCUAUAAGACUGGGAUAACUUCGGGAAACCGGAGCUAAUACCGGAUAAUAUAUUGAACCGCAUGGUUCAAUAGUGAAAGACGGUUUUGCUGUCACUUAUAGAUGGAUCCGCGCCGCAUUAGCUAGUUGGUAAGGUAACGGCUUACCAAGGCAACGAUGCGUAGCCGACCUGAGAGGGGGAUCGGCCACACGGGAACUGAGACACGGUCCAGACUCCUACGGGAGGCAGCAGUAGGGAAUCUUCCGCAAUGGGCGAAAGCCUGACGGAGCAACGCCGCGUGAGUGAUGAAGGUCUUCGGAUCGUAAAACUCUGUUAUUAGGGAAGAACAAAUGUGUAAGUAACUAUGCACGUCUUGACGGUACCUAAGCAGAAAGCCACGGCUAACUACGU
This 495-nucleotide ribosomal RNA is filed under the name uncultured bacterium. Its description in RNAcentral is "partial 16S ribosomal RNA". It matches the Rfam family "Bacterial small subunit ribosomal RNA", at positions 29 to 506 of the family's 1533-position model. The record is from RNAcentral.